CACUCUGGAGGUGUCACCAAACUUCCACCACCAAUUUUGGCUGAAGAAGAUCUUUUCCUUCAACUAAAUUUGUUUACUCUGUGCCCACAGUGAGGCAUGCUACCUUCCUCUACCACCUUGGCUUCUCCAGACCCUAAACCUUUCUUCAGAAGCAUUCCUGCAAGUCGCUCAACCUGCUCCCAACUCCCUAAAGGAAGACUCCUUUUCCCUUACGGAUUUGAGCACCUUUUUCAGCAUGGCUGCGCCCGCUCUGAUGUUAUGUAGCUUCGUAAGGUACCAGUUGCAAAGCGGAGGCAGACAUCUUUGGGCUUGGGGCAUCUUACCGGGAAGAGACCUGAAUCCGGUGGAGAUGGGCUAGAGCAUGCGUAUUACCCUUUGCGACUCUAGCGAUUGACAUAACGCAGGCAAGUUUUGUGGGGCAGGAGAAGUGGUUGUACGGCUGGUUUUCCAAGAUGGCGGGUCCCACAUAAAUCAGCUAACAGGGCGCCGCCAUACUCUGUCAUAGUGUCUUUGUCUAAAAGAGGCGAAAGUUAAACGGCCUCUUGGCCGGUGGAAGGACGCCCCGGAGUGAUGGUUGGCAGCCUGCAGAUCCGGGUGCUACAGAGGAUAAACUUGACCUGCGAGGUGGAACAGCCGGGUUUGUGAAUCUGAAGAAAGUAAUUGACUGACCCUAUUUGUACCCACCCAGCUGGCGCGCGAAGGAUCUCUUAAGGGGUCUCAGUUUCGCGUUCUGGGAGCAGAAUCAGGUUGAGCUUUGCGGAGCGUCUCCAACCCCCGGGGCCGCACAGCAGGAGAUGAGCGGUGGGCAAGCAAGCGAAGCUUCAUCGGCCGCUCCCCAUCGCUCACAUUACCGCCUGAACCACACCCCCCUUCCGUGGAAAAAUUGUCUUCCAGGAAACCGGUCCCUCGUGCCAAAAAGGUUGGGGACCGCUGCUCUAAAUCACCUCCUCCUCUCACUGUCUCCACGGUGCUUUGUAAUGACCAAGAUCUAAAUAAAAUCUAAGGUCUUAGCUGCGGCGUGCGGGAUCUUCAUUUUGGCAUGCGGGAUCUUUUUAAGUUGCGGCAUGCAGGCUCUUAGUUGCAGCAUGCAGGAUCUAGUUCCCUCACCAGAGAUUGAACCCGGUCCCCCUGCAUUGGGAGCGCGGAGUCUUAACCGCUGGAUC
Globicephala melas (long-finned pilot whale) is the source of this 1163-nucleotide non-coding RNA. NCBI's taxonomy places the organism in Eukaryota, Metazoa, Chordata, Mammalia, Artiodactyla, Delphinidae. The record is from RefSeq and is a predicted model, not a curated record.